CGAACGAGUUUAGGCUCGUGGCGUACGGCUCAGUAACACGUGGAUAACCUACCCUUAGGACUGGGAUAACCCUGGGAAACUGGGGAUAAUACUAGAUAGGCAAUUUUUCCUGGAAUGGUUUUUUGUUUAAAUGUUUUUUCGCCUAAGGAUGGGUCUGCGGCCGAUUAGGUAGUUGGUUAGGUAACGGCUUACCAAGCCAUUGAUCGGUACGGGUUGUGAGAGCAAGAGCCCGGAGAUGGAACCUGAGACAAGGUUCCAGGCCCUACGGGGUGCAGCAGGCGCGAAACCUCCGCAAUGUGAGAAAUCGCGACGGGGGGAUCCCAAGUGCCAUUCUUAACGGGAUGGCUUUCAUUAGUUAAA
This 360-nucleotide ribosomal RNA is filed under the name uncultured archaeon. RNAcentral's name for it is "bacterial SSU rRNA". It matches the Rfam family "Archaeal small subunit ribosomal RNA", at positions 59 to 421 of the family's 1478-position model. The record is from RNAcentral.